This 146-nucleotide unclassified non-coding RNA is filed under the name soil metagenome. RNAcentral describes it as "partial internal transcribed spacer 1". The record is from RNAcentral.
CUGAGUGAGGGCCUUCGGGCUCGACCUCCAACCCUUUGUGAACACCAGCUUGUUGCUUCGGGGGCGACCCUGCCGUUUCGACGGCGAGCGCCCCCGGAGACCAUCAAACACUGCAUCUUUGCGUCGGAGUUUAAGUAAAUUAAACA